AAAUGAGUGCUAAGAAAAUCCAUUCUCUUGAACUCGCUCGAGCCCAGAACGACUCCACUACUGAGCACACCGAGUACUACCUUCACCGAAUUCCGAGAAGCCGGGAGGUUCGGCAGUCCUGGCUCUCCUCCGUGUUCACUACCUUGUACUCCAUAUGGUUUUCCUUCCCACUGGUUCACCGAAUAAAGCCAGACUUGGUCCCCUUGAAAUAUCUGCGGUCUGCUCCGUGCAGAGAAGCAUGUGCUAUGGACUGAAUACGCACCAAUGGGCAGAGUUCCCCGGAGGCUGAUUUAUUGUCCCAGGCUCGAGGGCCAAGGAAAGUACCAGUCCCGCUGCCAUCACUUCCUGCACCCAGAGGGAGCCUGCUUCUGUUUCCAGACCCAGCUCUGUUUCAAAACUUCACUCCAUGGUGGCUGCCAGGAAAGGCUGAAUGGGGUUGGACAGCCAUGGAGGUGCUGUGUAAUGGACCAGGAACAUGUGUUCCUAUCUGUGUGUCUGCCCUGCUCCUUGGGAUCCUCGGGAUAAAGAAAGUGAUCAUUGUCUACGUUGAGAGCAUCUGCCGAGUGGAGACUUUGUCCCUGUCUGGGAAGAUUCUGUGGCACCUCUCUGAUUACUUCAUUGUUCAGUGGCCUACUCUUAAGGAGAAGUACCCCAAGUCUGUGUACCUGGGGCGAAUUGUUUGACAAAUGGCAACCCUAAGUCUUGAGAGUGUCGCAAUUACCGAUAAUAUCUACUAAUCUAUGCCCAAAGAAUUAUCAAUGGUAAAGAAUUUAAAAUGUACAAAUGACUCAAUGAAGAAAGACAAACUUGAGCAUAUAACGCGC
This 824-nucleotide long non-coding RNA is filed under the name Rattus norvegicus (Norway rat). RNAcentral's name for it is "long non-coding RNA NONRATT015742". Lineage: Eukaryota; Metazoa; Chordata; Mammalia; Rodentia; Muridae. The record is from RNAcentral.